RNAcentral lists this ribosomal RNA (472 nucleotides) under uncultured bacterium. RNAcentral's name for it is "bacterial SSU rRNA". It matches the Rfam family "Bacterial small subunit ribosomal RNA", at positions 355 to 825 of the family's 1533-position model. The record is from RNAcentral.
UGGGGAAUAUUGGACAAUGGGCGAAAGCCUGAUCCAGCCAUGCCGCGUGUGUGAAGAAGGUCUUCGGAUUGUAAAGCACUUUAAGUUGGGAGGAAGGGCAGUAACCUAAUACGUAUCUGUUUUGACGUUACCGACAGAAUAAGCACCGGCUAACUCUGUGCCAGCAGCCGCGGUAAUACAGAGGGUGCAAGCGUUAAUCGGAAUUACUGGGCGUAAAGCGCGCGUAGGUGGUUUGUUAAGUUGGAUGUGAAAUCCCCGGGCUCAACCUGGGAACUGCAUUCAAAACUGACUGACUAGAGUAUGGUAGAGGGUGGUGGAAUUUCCUGUGUAGCGGUGAAAUGCGUAGAUAUAGGAAGGAACACCAGUGGCGAAGGCGACCACCUGGACUGAUACUGACACUGAGGUGCGAAAGCGUGGGGAGCAAACAGGAUUAGAUACCCGAGUAGUCCCUGAGCGGGCUGGCAAGGCGCAU